UACGUAGGGGGCUAGCGUUGUCCGGAUUUAUUGGGCGUAAAGAGCGUGUAGGCGGCCAUGUAGGUCCGGUGUGAAAACUCGAGGCUUAACCUCGAGAUGUCAUCGGAAACCAUUUGGCUAGAGUCCGGAAGAGGAGAGUGGAAUUCCUGGUGUAGCGGUGAAAUGCGCAGAUAUCAGGAGGAACACCGGUGGCGAAGGCGGGUCUCUGGGCAGUAACUGACGCUGAGGAGCGAAAGCGUGGGGAGCGAACAGG
Molecule: ribosomal RNA, 253 nt
Filed under: uncultured bacterium
Lineage: Bacteria
Description: partial 16S ribosomal RNA
Rfam family: Bacterial small subunit ribosomal RNA
Source: RNAcentral